Long non-coding RNA from Eriocheir sinensis (Chinese mitten crab), 2929 nucleotides. RefSeq lists it as uncharacterized. Lineage: Eukaryota; Metazoa; Arthropoda; Malacostraca; Decapoda; Varunidae. The record is from RefSeq and is a predicted model, not a curated record. The transcript is spliced from 2 exons.
UUUGUACUUUCCCUUCCCUCCCCUUCUCCUCCUCCUCUUCCUCUUCUGUUUCUUUCUGCUCUUUUUCCUUCUCCCUUUUCCUCCUCCUCUUCCUCUUCCUUCAAUUCCUCUUCCUUUCCCUUCCCUCCCCUUUCUCCCUUUUCCUCCUCCUCUUCCUUAUUCCUUCCUCCUCCUUCUCCCUUUUCUUCCUCCUCCUCCUCUUCAACUUCCUCCUCCUCCUCCUAUUCCUUAUUCCUCCCUCCCCCAUCUCCCUUCUCCUCCUCCUCUUCCUCUUCUGUUUCUUCCUUCUCCCUUUUCCUCCUCCUCUUCCUCUUCUUCCUUAAAUUCCUCUUCCUUUCCCUUCCCUCCCCUUUCUCCCUUUUCCUCCUCCUCCUCCUCCUCCCCACCUCUUUAUCUCUCCCUCCCUUCCUUCCAUCUCCUCCUCCUCCUCUUCCUAUCAACUUGUUUCCAAUGACAUUUAAAAGGUCACCGUCAAGGGUCAUAGCCAUAUUUUUAAGCCCUGAACGGGAAGAAACACAAAGGACUUCAAAGGUGUUUCCGUUCGUCGAGUUCCGUUGGUUCGACAGUGAUUUUGAUUAUGCCGCGUUUACGUUCGUGUAGUACCGUCAUCGUCGCGUCUUCCAGUCUCUUGUAACAUUAGAAGGACCAGAGUCAUCGCCGGCUGUUGUCUUGUCCCUUGAGCCCCACCCCACCUUCUUACCCUCCCUCUCUCUCUCUAUGCUAACAUUAAACUCCCUUCCAACUUCCUCACUUGGCUCAGAUUGUGUUGUCCCUUGAGCCCCACCCCACCUUCUUACCCUCUCCCUCUCUCUCUCUCUCUAUGCUAACAUUAAACUCACUUCCAACUUCCUCACUUGGCUCAGAUUGUGUUGUCCCUUGAGCCCCACCCCACCUUCUUACCCUCACCCUCUCCCUUUCUCUCUCUACACUAACAUGAACCUCACAUCCAACUUCUUCAUUCAGCCCAAAUCGCCUUGUCCGUAUAAUAAAACCACUAAUAUUUUGACCCGGGUAGUUCAGGGUGUUGUGUGAGCUUGCAAUGAUGGGAGAGACUCUUACAUUGAAUAAGCCUGAGUCUGUAUAUUCAUUGGUAAGUAAACGACGUGUGUGUGUGCGGACAUGAUACAAGACUGGCCAUAGAAUCAAACACCAUAGAAUUUGCAUUGCCAGCUAUAGAAUCAAUGUUGUCUGUAGCCUUGAACUAGCAUCACCCACGACACCAGACAGAGGACCAGGUGGAGAGGUGGAGUUAGGGCAUUAGAAGGGGCAGGAUGAAGCACACUAACUCCAGACAGAGAACCAGGUGGAGAGAUGGAAUUAGAACCUUUACCGGGGCAGGAUGGAGCACACUAACACCAGACAGAGGACCAGGUGGAGAGAUGGAAUUAGAACCUUUGCCGGGGCAGGAUGGAGCACACUAACACCAGACAGAGAACCAGGUGAAGAGAUGGAAUUAGAACCUUUGCCGGGGCAGGAUGGAGCACACUAACACCAGACAGAGAACCAGGUGGAGAGAUGGAAUUAGAACCUUUGCCGGGGCAGGAUGGAGCACACUAACACCAGACAGAGAACCAGGUGGAGAGAUGGAAUUAUAACCUUUGCCAGAGCAGGAUGGAGCACACUAACACCAGACAGAGAACCAGGUGGAGAGAUGGAAUUAUAACCUUUGCCAGAGCAGGAUGGAGCACACUAACACCAGACAGAGAACCAGGUGGAGAGAUGUAAUUAGAACCUUUGCCGGGGCAGGAUGGAGCACACUAACACCAGACAGAGAACCAGGUGGAGAGAUGGAAUUAGAACCUUUACCAGGGCAGGAUUGAGCACGCUAACACCAGUAACAACUUACACUAACUCCAGGCAAAUAUACCUUAUGGAUGUGGGUGUGUUCAUGGGUCAAAUCAUCUAUGUAUAAAAAAAAAUCACUAGUAUUUUGAGCUGAAUGUUGAAUGUUAUGGUUAUGUCAUGAUUCAAAUUGACGUCUGUAUAAAAAAACAACACAUAUCUUAGACUCAAUUUUUCUUAAGGAUGUUCAUGGUUCAGAUUGUCUUCUUAUGCAGGAUAGAUUUUCACGGCUGUCACUCUGUGUUGUGUUCUGUGGUCGAGUUUAGUUUUCCUUUUUUUCAUCUUCCUCUUUCUCCUCUUCUUCUUUCUCUUCCUCCUCUUCUUUUCCUUCUCCUCUUCUUCUUUCUCUUCCUCCUCUUCCUUCUCUUCUUUUCCUUCUCCUCUUUCUCCUCUUCUUUUUUCUCUUCCUCCUCCUCCUGCUCCAUUUUCCUCCUCCUCUUCUUCUCCUCCUCUUCCUCCUCCUCUUCUUUUCCUUCUCCCUCCUUUUCCUCCACUUCUUUCUCUUCCUCCUCCUCCUUCUCCAUUCUCCUCCUCCUCUUCUUUUCCUCCACUUCUUCUUUCUCUUCCUCCUCCUCCUUCUCCAUUCUCCUCCUCCUCUUUCUCCUCCUCUACUUCUUUCUCUUCCUCCUCCUCCUCCUCCUCCUUCUCCAUUCUCCUCCUCCUCUUCUUUUCCUCCUCUUUCUCCUCCUCUACUUCUUUCUCUUCCUCCUCCUCCUCCUCCUUCUCCAUUCUCCUCCUCCUCUUCUUUUCCUCCUCUUUCUCUUCCUCCUCCAUUUUCCUCCUCCUCUUCUUUUCCUUCUCCCUCCUUUUCCUCCUCUUCUUCUUUCUCUUCUUCCUCCUCCUCCUUCUCCAUUUUCCUCCUCCUUCUCCAUUUUUCUCCUCCUCUUCUUUUCCUUCUCCCUCCUUUUCCUCCACUUCUUUCUCUUCCUCCUCCUCCUCUUUUUUUCCUCCUCCCUCCUUUUCCUCCUCAGUGACCUCAGGGUAGGGGCAUGGGCUGAGGGGGACAAGUUCGCUGGUGGUGGUGCCUCUGGGAAACAGUUCUAAUGCAUGUUCCUAAUGUCAUACAAAUACAUAUCAUUGUUACUAA